GACUUAAUUUAUCUAUUUAUCUCAUCCAUGUGUUGUAUAGACAGAGGGUUUAUUAGCCACCUCCCAAUUUGUUUCAAUCCUUAGUGUUGGUAUUUGGCUUUAAAGUAGCUCAUGUAUCAUUCAUUGAUUAACUACAGAAACAAAGGUGAGAUACAAAACAAUGAGACAGAAAUGAUCAUAUAAUCAUCCUCAUGUGGACGGACUACUUGCGUCAAAUGGUGGCGGCAAGCAGAGAAGAUUGAAAUUAAAGGCUAGAAUUUUCUUUAAAAGAAUUAUUGGCACUGUUGUGCGAUCUAUGCAAGCGGAUCAAAAGGAGCAAGUUUGCCGUGUCUACUAUGCCUAAGAUGUAUGCGGGACACAUGUAUACCUGAUAAGAAGAUGCUUAAAGAUCCAAGGAGGCUGUAUGCACCUGGCCGUCUCUAUCAUAUUGUUGAGAGAAAGCCUUGCAGAUCAAAGUUUCAAACUUUGCACUUAUUAGUGCAUUUAUGACGGAGUUGGAAGCUGAACACCUGUUAUCCAGAACGUUAGAGUCAACUAGCUGUCAGUCUGCUGAUCAGGUGGAAGCAACAUUAGUUAACAAAGGAGUCAGAGUAAUAUCCGAAGAAUCAACCUGUUGGUGUUGUGCUUGUGCGGGCGUGGCUGGCCAGAGAUAGCUAAUACAUGGGAACCCUUGGAGAAUCUCCAAUCUGUCUCUGAUGUUAUAGAAGCAUUUGAAAAAAGUGGGCGGUAAAGACGCGGAAAUCAUAUAGCCAAAAUCAAAUUGACGAGGUGUGCAUUGAAGUGGCUGAUUAUAUACAGAGUUUGAUGUAGGACUGUGACUGCCAAGAUGUUUUUUGAGUAAGGCUAGCUAGUUUUGGCUUUGAAGCAAACCUUGGUGUGGAACUUUUGUACAUUGUUGCUCAUAUGUUUCCAAGCUAGCUUUUGUAAGUUUAGGGGUUUAUUUUCUGAAUUAUGUUGAAUCAUGAAUUUGGAAAGAAAAUUAAUGGAAAGCCCCUAAUUUUGGAUGAUGAGAAAUGCACUUUUUUUCCCAGCAAUAGCUA
Long non-coding RNA from Rosa rugosa (rugosa rose), 1040 nucleotides. RefSeq lists it as uncharacterized. Lineage: Eukaryota; Viridiplantae; Streptophyta; Magnoliopsida; Rosales; Rosaceae. The record is from RefSeq and is a predicted model, not a curated record. The transcript is spliced from 6 exons.